Molecule: ribosomal RNA, 497 nt
Filed under: uncultured bacterium
Lineage: Bacteria
Description: partial 16S ribosomal RNA
Rfam family: Bacterial small subunit ribosomal RNA
Source: RNAcentral
GAUGAACGCUGGCGGCGUGCCUAAUACAUGCAAGUCGAGCGAACAGACGAGGAGCUUGCUCCUCUGACGUUAGCGGCGGACGGGUGAGUAACACGUGGAUAACCUACCUAUAAGACUGGGAUAACUUCGGGAAACCGGAGCUAAUACCGGAUAAUAUAUUGAACCGCAUGGUUCAAUAGUGAAAGACGGUUUUGCUGUCACUUAUAGAUGGAUCCGCGCCGCAUUAGCUAGUUGGUAAGGUAACGGCUUACCAAGGCGACGAUGCGUAGCCGACCUGAGAGGGUGAUCGGCCACACUGGAACUGAGACACGGUCCAGACUCCUACGGGAGGCAGCAGUAGGGAAUCUUCCGCAAAGGGCAAAAGCCUGACGGAGCAACGCCGCGUGAGUGAUGAAGGUCUUCGGAUCGUAAAACUCUGUUAUUAGGGAAGAACAAAUGUGUAAGUAACUAUGCACGUCUUGACGGUACCUAAUCAGAAAGCCACGGCUAACUACGUG